CAAACCUCAAGCUUCUGCUUGGUAUUGGGCCUCGUCCGCCUAGGACGUGCCCGAAACUCGUAGGCAGUGGUGUCCAUCUCCCAGCGUAGUCAAAUUCUAUCCGCUUCGGAGCUUUAGGCACUGCCCGCCGAACAACCCACUAUUUUUCUAUG
RNAcentral lists this unclassified non-coding RNA (152 nucleotides) under uncultured Tubeufiaceae. RNAcentral describes it as "sequence contains ITS2". Lineage: Eukaryota; Fungi; Ascomycota; Dothideomycetes; Tubeufiales; Tubeufiaceae. The record is from RNAcentral.